This 868-nucleotide long non-coding RNA is filed under the name Homo sapiens (human). RNAcentral's name for it is "HSALNT0147886". Lineage: Eukaryota; Metazoa; Chordata; Mammalia; Primates; Hominidae. The record is from RNAcentral.
CUUGAAUGUACUUUGGAAUGUGAAAUAGUAUUCACACUAUAUUUUUCUUUCUUUUUUCUUUGAGACAGGGUCUCAUUUUGUCACCAAGGCUGGAGUGCAAUGGUGCAUUGGCACAAUCACAGUUGACUGCAGCCUUGACCUCCUGGGCUCAAGCAAUCUUCCCACCUUAGCCUCCUGAGCAGCUGGGACUGGGACUAUAGGCACACCCUACCAUGCCUGGCUAUUUUGUGUAAGUGUGUGGAAAUGGCCUCUGACUACAUUGCCCAGCCUGGUCUUAAACUCCUGAGCUAAAGCAUCCUCCCACCUUGGCCUUCCAAAGUGAUGGGAUUACAGAUGUGAACAACUGCACCCAGCUCUUAAACAAGCUUAUGAAUCAAGAACCACGUUCCAUAAAGAAAGUAUUAAGGACCCUAUUGCUUGUUAUCUGAUGAACAAAAAUCAUUUCCACACAACUCUUGAUCCAAUUUUUCUACAUUAAAUUCCUUCCAAAUGGAUUUGGUAAGCAAUGUAAACCCUGGCCAAAUUUUGAGGUAGGCGGUUUGUUUUUAAUGCUGUCUACCUUUUGUGAAGGAGCAAGUGACAUAAAGGUAACUAGAUAACUUGUGCAGAGUAAAGACAAAAGUGAAGGAAAUUAUUAGCAUCCUGCCUGUUUUGGAUCAUAGAGGACACUUCGUCAAUUGGUGCAAGGCAUAAAUCUGUCAGGCAGCAGCCAAAACAUACCACACAUCUACAGUGAGACGCUUACCACAACAAUUCUGUGAAAAAGGUGUGGAUGUUCCUAUUUCACAGAAAAGGAAAUAAAAGCUCAGAGGAACUAAAGAAUUUUCUACACGUCACCUGUUGCAGCAAGAAGACUCUCCAGUUGCUA